Molecule: ribosomal RNA, 477 nt
Filed under: uncultured bacterium
Lineage: Bacteria
Description: partial 16S ribosomal RNA
Rfam family: Bacterial small subunit ribosomal RNA
Source: RNAcentral
GACGAACGCUGGCGGCGUGCUUAACACAUGCAAGUCGAACGGUAAGGCCCUUCGGGGUACACGAGUGGCGAACGGGUGAGUAACACGUGGGUGAUCUGCCCUACACUUCGGGAUAAGCCUGGGAAACUGGGUCUAAUACCGGAUAGGACUCCUGGCUUCAUGGUUGGGGGUGGAAAGCUUUUGCGGUGUGGGAUGGGCCCGCGGCCUAUCAGCUUGUUGGUGGGGUGAUGGCCUACCAAGGCGACGACGGGUAGCCGGCCUGAGAGGGUGACCGGCCACAGUGGGACUGAGAUACGGCCCAGAGUCCUACGGGAGGCAGCAGUGGGGAAUAUUGCACAUGGGCGCAAGCCUGAUGCAGCGACGCCGCGUGAGGGAUGACGGCCUUCGGGUUGUAAACCUCUUUCAGCACCGACGAAGCGCAAGUGACGGUAGGUGCAGAAGAAGGACCGGCCAACUACGUGCCAGCAGCCGCGGUAA